Long non-coding RNA from Polyodon spathula (Mississippi paddlefish), 490 nucleotides. RefSeq lists it as uncharacterized. Lineage: Eukaryota; Metazoa; Chordata; Actinopteri; Acipenseriformes; Polyodontidae. The transcript is spliced from 3 exons. The record is from RefSeq and is a predicted model, not a curated record.
GUUCGACACGGAUGGGGAAGCAACAGGUGUUACCAUCGCUCAUCAGGCACAAGAGCACUUCCCCACAACAGCUCAGGAGAACAGGUCAGUGGAUGUCCUCUGAUACUCCCACAAAGCCAAGUGUCUCUUUACACCCAGGAACUCGCAAAACACAUGGCCAUGCUUUUAGCAGCAGACUUGGGAAUUAUGAAAAGGACUGAUAACCUGUCAAAAUCACAACAAGGAUCACAAGAAGAAACAUGCGAACUACACCUGGGAUGCAAGGUGCCAGGACUGUUAUACUGCCAGAUCCACCAUUAUUCAUUAUUGUAUCUUACUGUAUGUAAGUAAUAAAAAGUGUCAACUGAAGAUCAAGAUCAAGGUGCCAAAUUAGAUUGAAACCUGUAUGACAAAUGUGUUUGGGUUAGACAUAAAAUGUGUAUUAUUUGUUAAAAUUCAUAGUGUGAGAUUGUGUUGUGGAAUUUUUAUAAAUACUGUGUUAUAUAUUUUC